Molecule: long non-coding RNA, 5316 nt
Organism: Physeter macrocephalus (sperm whale)
Lineage: Eukaryota; Metazoa; Chordata; Mammalia; Artiodactyla; Physeteridae
Exons: 4
Source: RefSeq, a predicted model, not a curated record
CGGAGCGGCUGGGCCCGUGAGCCAUGGCCACUGAGCCUGCGCGUCUGGAGCCCUGUGCUCUGCAACGGGAGAAGCCACAACAGUGAGAGGCCCGCGUACCGUAAAAAAUAAAAAUAAAAAAAUAAAAAAGAUUAUGAUGGUAGAAAAUGAGAGAACAGGACUGUCAUAAUAUGACUCCUGCUUCUUUUCUUUAUUGGAGGAAGUGGGAAGAUCUGACUAGAUGAAAUGAACCAGCAACCAAACAGGUGAACACUAUAGUGUAAAAUGGACAUUGCUGAAGAAGGAUAGAGAUUUAUAUGAACUGCAACAGAGACAUUACUGACAUCACAUGCAGCAGUGGUCUGUGGAUAUGAAAGGGUAGAAAAUACUGAGUUGAGAGUCAGGAGACUUGGCUUCUAGAUCAUCUCACACUCUGCAGCUGUAAGACUUUGGAUGAGGAACCAAAGCCUGAAAAAUGGAUCUAAGUUGCCUGAUUAACCAACGUCAUCCCUGGACUAAAGCCCCUGGCUUCCUGACUCCUAGUCCAGCUGUCUUUCUGUCAUUUCCAUAAUGGGAGUUGAGCAAAGAUAAUAGAAAACGCAUUUAUCCCUGGUUUUCUAAAGCUUGAGAGGGAUGAAAUAGAAAGAGAGGAGGAGGCUGAAGUGGGGUGAAAGGUGUAAAAAGCAGAUUUACUUCCCUGGUUUUGCAUUACUUUCCUGAGUUUACAUUGCUUGAGCACACACCCCCUGAUGGUGGAGGGAAGUGGUAGAGCGUAGCCAACAUGGGAUUAAAGAUUGCAUUACAUCAAGCCACAGAGUAAAUAAUCUACAUGUCCACAAUGGAAGGGAGUGUGAGAGGGUGUCUUUUUUCUUCUCUCACAUAUAGUUCUUUAGGUCUCCUCCGGCCACCUCAGACCUAGACUAAUUUUCCAGAAGGUCCUACAUAACCCUUCUCUUCAGGGCUCCAAGCUUGCUAGUGUGUGGAUUUGGCAGAGAAGUGCAAACUAAAAAGGUUAUGCAUAAAAAAUCACUUGUGACCUGAAAAUUAUUUCAGUGUGGGGUUGGUGCUCCACGUGGUUGAGUAGAAAGAGCCCUGGGCCAGAGACGGGAUGCCUGACUGCUUCCCCAGCCCUGCCACUAACUAGCUGGGGGGCCCCAGAAGAGGAAGUUAACGUCUCUGCACAUCUGUUUUGUAACCUAUAAAAUGUCAUCAAAAACACUCACCACAUUUUAUUUUCCUUUAUCCUCACAAGAACUCCCCAAGGUAGAUAGUACUCUUCCCAUAUUAGAGGUGAAGAAAUACAGGCUUAGAGAAUUGUGACUUGCCCAAUAUCAUUCAGCUAGUAAGUGGCAGAAUCUAAAAGACAUUGGACUUGAGCACAGAAUGUACUCUUAACCUCCAAGAUAGACUACCUAUAUUUUGAUGGGAGAAAUGGAUAGUAAAGUUUCAAAGCACUUUAAAGGAGUUUAAGCAAAUGUUUACUACAGUCAUUCAGAGGGGUUAUAAUCCCAAGGAGGUGCCUGUACUCAAGUCAUUUUCAGCUCAUUGACUUUCUUAUUCAUUGCUUUUCAUGUGGAUCUGAGAGUAUCAAACCAGUUAUCCUCUUUCACCUCAUUUGCUUUUGGUGUCAGUUCUCCUCCCACACUGGCUGCUUUCAGGGCCAGCCAGCACCACUUCUUGCCAAGUGGAGGAGUGUAAGUGUAGGAAGCCACGCUCACACACUCACAAGCAAGCACACAAAUGCCCACACUCAUCAACGCACGCACGCGCACACACAUAUAUUCAUAUUACUUUGUACGCACAUCCAUGGUUUCAGAACCUGACAAUUUAAGAGUUUGUCAUUAUUAUGACAGUGCAUAUAUCAUGUACAAAUAAUUUCCCAGAAUUGGGCUUUGGAGUGAAAAAUGCUGUGAUAAAGUGAUAGAAAGUGGAGGGAUACGUACUAAGGAGAAUACCAAGAAACUUAGACCCUUCUGGCUUCACCUCCAACCUUGAAUUCUGCUAUAAGCUUAUUAAUUUCGCCCAGCUCAUUCAGCCUCCUUGAAAGGCCCUUACCCCUUGGUGGGCAAUAGGUUUGACACCUCAGUGUCUCUUCGUGAGCUGAUUCUGAGCUUUCACUCUGUCGUCUACAUAUGUGUUCUGGGCAGUGGUGGUCAUCAGACUGUAAACUUCAGAGGUUCGGGAUCACAUCUGUGGAAUUCUCCCUUCAGUGGUUUGGCACUACAUGCAAUUAGCUCUUUGGUGAUGACAACACUUCAUUCUUGCUACUGCUUUUUGUUUGGUUUGCUUAGGACGCAGACACAAAAGAUUUUGAUCCUCAUUUAAUUAUGUAUAGCCCAGAACUGUUGUGGCAUUUAACAAAUGAAUUUAUUCAUUGCACAUGCACUUGUGAACACUGUGGUAAUAUUACGUCAUUUUUGCAUUAAACCUUAAUGUUUAUAAAGCACAUCCAUGAUUAGUGUCACACUCAGACUUCCCUUUGAGACAGUAGAAAGGGAUAAAAAUAUUACCUACUUCAUGAGGAUUAAAUUUGUGAGGAUUAAAUGCAAUAAACUACUUAGCAUUGGGGGCUGGCACAGAGCAAACAGUAUUAAAUGUUACUAUUAGUACAUGACUGGCCCAUAUUACUGAUGAGGACCCACAGCUCAGAGAUGCUAAGUUACUUGUUCAGGUUGUACAGUUAAGUGGUGGAAUUCAGUUAAGAAUCUAAGUCUCCAGACUCCAAGCCCAUUUUAGGAAAUUAUCAGUUGACACUGCAAUCAUGGAAGGAAAAAAGCAGAGCCUCAGAGGAAGAGCAUUCCUGACAGUUUUAUGGUGGAUAUACCCUGAGCCACAGAUACACUCCUUUAUUGGAAGACUGAGGAAAUGCAGACUGGGCAACUGGAAGGAACUGAAGGAAAGACUCCAACGUACAAGAAAGGCAUGGAGCAGCAAAUCAAAGUAAAGAGUAACAAACACAGGGAAGAGCCCAUCCUAGGCCGAGUCUUCGGCAGAUGAAUGAAAGGGGGCUGAGAACAAGACAUUUCUCAGCCUCUUGUUGGCUGCCUUUUGCUAGAAAGAGAUCAGGACUCCUGCUCUCUACAGAUGACUGACUACAGAAUACAGAGGGCAAGAGGGAGGGAAGGAGAGUUUCCACCAGGGUGAGGUAUUUCUGACUCUGCCUUGUUGACAGCAAACAGUGGCGGUAGUGGGACUUUUGACAGGAAGUGUCCAUCUCUGGGGGAGUCAGGAUCGGGCCAGGAGGUAGAGCAACCCUGCCACCCUAAAGCUCUGGCUUUUUCCCCUCUGCACUCUGGUGCAGGAGCUUCCACAUCUCUCAUGCCUCCUUAGGGCAGCAGGGGGAGGACGCGAGGCCAGCCUUCAGCAGGGACCAUUUCGUUUACAUUCCCACCCCUCGGCCCUGGGAAGCCCCGAGUUCCCACACUCACUGAGGCAGGAAGGUCGCCACGGACACCUCAUCUGUCUGGGUUGCUGACUAACUACAGAUAAGCAGCAGCUGCUGCAUCCACAUUGGAUGCAGAUUGCCCACCCUGGAACCAGGCAGAGAAGGGCCAACCUCUGCCCACUGGGGGGUGGGGGACCACAAGGCCUCCGGGGCCGUCUGCUGCGGCUGAGGCCCAAUGACCGCGGGGGAGGGGUCCCCCGAAAAACUCGCUUUGAGGGAGCUGCUGGACGGGACCAAGGAAAGGCAGGUCUUUGGUGUGCCUACCCCACGGCACAAAUCCAACCCGACAGCCGUCGAGCACUUGACAGUUUUACAGUACUCUGCUGCAUACUUUUUCUCACAUCACUCUGACCACCACCCGUGAAGAACACAGAGCAGGUGUUUUUGUGUCCAUUUUGCAGAUGAGUAAACAGCCUCAGGAUGUUUGAGAGACUUGCCCAAGUUCUCACAGCUAGUCAGUGGUAAAAGCCGUUUUUUCACGGCCUGUUUGGUGGGUCUUUCCAUUACUAUGUGCAAACACAACAAGCCAAGUGGACAAGUUCCAAUUUUUAUCUCUGAAAGAAAACUCCUCCUCCUGGGUUUAACCUGUCUUCCACCCAGCCUGGGGUGUAGUGAGAAACACUUCAGUCUUGGAAUUUGAAUCCCGAUUCCCCUUCUUGCCAGCCAAGUAAUUUAGCAGCUGUGUGAUUUUGGAUUUGAUUUUCUUGAAUAUUCGCUUCCACAUGUAUAAAAUGGAGAUGAUGUUGCUUAAGUUGUGGAGGCUUCUGUAAGGAUUAAAAAUAACAGUAAACAUCUACUGACUAUUUUCUGUACCCUCAGCUCAGUUCUAAGCACCUCAUGUGCACUGACUCACUGAAUUCUCACAACAGCCCUAGGUUAGUUCAUAUGUGCUAUGUUAUUUCACUUCAUAGAUGAGGAAACAAUAGCAGAGGUAAAGAGACUUACCCCAGGUCACACAGCAAACAAAUAGCAGAGCCAGAAUUCUCACCCAGGCUGUCUGACACCAAAGCCAAGUGCUUAAUCUCCAUGUUAUACUGACUAUGCAAAUUAUGAUGACUGCCUACAAUAAGGUACUCAAUCAAUAGCUGUUACUAGGUAUUGGGGCAGGUGUAGCUUGAUUUAUAAGCAAACUGAAGAGCUAACUGCCUGAACUAAUUAGAUAAACCAAAGGCCUGUCCACUAGGAAGUAUCUUCAGUUUAGUAUGCCAUGGUUUCUCAUUUGCCACCACCAGCGUCAUUCCUUUAGAACAGGAAGACACUUCAGGAACAUUUGGCAAUGUCUAGAGACAUUUUUGGUUGUCACAGAUGUGGGAGUGCUACUGGCAUCUAAUGGGUAAGGCCAGGGAUGCUGCUAAACAUCCUGUAAUGCACACAACCGUCCCUGCACCAAAGAAUUAUCUGGCCCCAGUGUCAAUAUGCUGAGGUUUAGAAAUUGCUUUAAUAUUGAGUAUUUAUUAUGGACUAAAUACUAAAUAUUGAGUAUUUAGUAAGACUACUUUAGUCUUGAAGAGCCCUGUUAAUACACAAAUUUGUCACAUAGAGCAACAAAGUAAUGUUCUGUUUAACGUCUCUUGAUAUGCUGACACAGUUCAAUCUAUGCAAUAUCUGUUAUUACUAUUGCUGUUGUUACUGUUGUUGUUGCCAAGCAAAGAUGUGUGCCCUAGAAAUGAUCAAGCCGAUUUGGGGUUUGUGGUAGAGUUAGAAAACUGAAGCUCUUUUUCUGUCAAGUUACGUUACCAUCCUCCAAAUUGCUGACAUUUCUUCCAAUAUGUUGAAAUAGGUCAUAAAUAAACUCACAGCGAUGCCAUUUCCUUUUAACAUGCAGUUCUGUGACUCCCUGAUAUCUCUCAGUUCAGUCAGCUCUUCUUUUGUCCCCCUUCCCAUUAUGCAUA